GCCUCUCUGAUGCAACUGAACUAUUGUAACUAGCCGAGAACAAUCAACAUCAAAAAAGGCACCCGCAUCUCUACAAUACUAGAAGACCAGUAGACUUAAUAUUUAAUGAGGAGAUUUAAGUUCAGAUCUCUUCUAAUUAGUCACAUACAUCUGAUAUAAUGACUAAUCUGAUUUGGGUCAGCACAUUUCAUGUCUGACCAACCUAGUC
Molecule: long non-coding RNA, 208 nt
Filed under: Elaeis guineensis (African oil palm)
Lineage: Eukaryota; Viridiplantae; Streptophyta; Magnoliopsida; Arecales; Arecaceae
Description: long non-coding RNA (EGUI_LNC044880)
Source: RNAcentral